GACGAACGCUAGCGGCGUGCUUAACACAUGCAAGUCGAGCGGUAAGGCCCUUUCGGGGGUACACGAGCGGCGAACGGGUGAGUAACACGUGGGUGACCUGCCCUCAGCUCUGGGAUAAGCCUGGGAAACCGGGUCUAAUACCGGAUAUGACUCCAUGACGCAUGUUGUGGGGUGGAAAGCCUUGUGCGGCUGAGGAUGGGCCCGCGGCCUAUCAGCUUGUUGGUGGGGUGAUGGCCUACCAAGGCGACGACGGGUAGCCGGCCUGAGAGGGCGACCGGCCACACUGGGACUGGGACACGGCCCAGACUCCUACGGGAGGCAGCAGUGGGGAAUCUUGCGCAAUGGACGAAAGUCUGACGCAGCGACGCCGCGUGUGGGAUGAAGCUCUUCGGGGGUGUAAACCACUGUUAGCCCGGGAAGAAUCUCCUGAUUCAUCAGG
RNAcentral lists this ribosomal RNA (439 nucleotides) under uncultured bacterium. RNAcentral's name for it is "bacterial SSU rRNA". It matches the Rfam family "Bacterial small subunit ribosomal RNA", at positions 28 to 466 of the family's 1533-position model. The record is from RNAcentral.